This 253-nucleotide ribosomal RNA is filed under the name uncultured bacterium. RNAcentral describes it as "partial 16S ribosomal RNA". It matches the Rfam family "Bacterial small subunit ribosomal RNA", at positions 524 to 776 of the family's 1533-position model. The record is from RNAcentral.
UACGUAGGGUGCGAGCGUUGUCCGGAAUUAUUGGGCGUAAAGGGCUCGUAGGCGGUUUGUCGCGUCGGGAGUGAAAUCCACUGGCUUAACUGGUGGCUUGCUUUCGAUACGGGCAGACUGGAGGUAUGCAGGGGAGAACGGAAUUCCUGGUGUAGCGGUGAAAUGCGCAGAUAUCAGGAGGAACACCGGUGGCGAAGGCGCUGCUCUGGGCCGGUACUGACGCUGAGGAGCGAAAGCGUGGGUAGCAAACAGG